AAUAAAAGAGUAAGGAAGAAGUGCACCAAAUUUAUACUGGUUGGCCACAAAUGUGGUUACGUCCAGUCUCCCGAGAUACAAUCACGAGGUUCAACUAAUCCUAUUAAGCUUCCGGGUGCUCAACAAACCGUUACAACUUGAGAACUUGAAUCACACAAGCCUCAACAACCUUGCUCGAAGAUACCGCACUUCAAGACUUCAACAGAAGGAAUAAAAACGUUCCUUCUAAC
Molecule: long non-coding RNA, 230 nt
Filed under: Nicotiana benthamiana
Lineage: Eukaryota; Viridiplantae; Streptophyta; Magnoliopsida; Solanales; Solanaceae
Description: long non-coding RNA (NBEN_LNC007573)
Source: RNAcentral